This 68-nucleotide transfer RNA is filed under the name Pachyhynobius shangchengensis (Shangcheng stout salamander). RNAcentral describes it as "tRNA-Glu". It matches the Rfam family "tRNA". Rfam says of the family: Transfer RNA (tRNA) molecules are approximately 80 nucleotides in length. Their secondary structure includes four short double-helical elements and three loops (D, anti-codon, and T loops). The record is from RNAcentral. Lineage: Eukaryota; Metazoa; Chordata; Amphibia; Caudata; Hynobiidae.
GUUUUUAUGGUUGAAUUCAACAUUGGUUUUUCAAGCCAAAGGUCCUGGUUAAAGUCCUGGUAAAAAUA